Molecule: ribosomal RNA, 400 nt
Filed under: Halomonas sp. M13-C19
Lineage: Bacteria; Pseudomonadati; Pseudomonadota; Gammaproteobacteria; Oceanospirillales; Halomonadaceae
Description: bacterial SSU rRNA
Rfam family: Bacterial small subunit ribosomal RNA
Source: RNAcentral
UAGAGUUUGAUCAUGGCUCAGAUUGAACGCUGGCGGCAGGCCUAACACAUGCAAGUCGAGCGGAAACGAUGGAAGCUUGCUUCCAGGCGUCGAGCGGCGGACGGGUGAGUAAUGCAUGGGAAUCUGCCCGAUAGUGGGGGAUAACCUGGGGAAACCCAGGCUAAUACCGCAUACGUCCUACGGGAGAAAGCAGGGGAUCUUCGGACCUUGCGCUAUCGGAUGAGCCCAUGUCGGAUUAGCUUGUUGGUGAGGUAAUGGCUCACCAAGGCGACGAUCCGUAGCUGGUCUGAGAGGAUGAUCAGCCACAUCGGGACUGAGACACGGCCCGAACUCCUACGGGAGGCAGCAGUGGGGAAUAUUGGACAAUGGGCGAAAGCCUGAUCCAGCCAUGCCGCGUGUC